GUGGGGAAUUUUGGACAAUGGGCGAAAGCCUGAUCCAGCCAUGCCGCGUGCAGGAUGAAGGCCUUCGGGUUGUAAACUGCUUUUGUACGGAACGAAAAGACUCUGGUUAAUACCUGGGGUCAAUGACGGUACCAUUCGAGGAAGGACCGGCUAACUUCGUGCCAGCAGCCGCGGUAAUACGAGGGGUCCUAGCGUUGUUCGGAAUCAUUGGGCGUAAAGGGUGUGUAGGUGGCCAUGUAAGUCAGGUGUGAAAGCCCCGGGCUCAACCCGGGAAGUGCACUUGAUACUGCGUGGCUUGAGUACCGAAGAGGGUAGUGGAAUUCCAGGUGUAGUGGUGAAAUACGUAGAUAUCUGGAGGAACACCGGUGGCGAAGGCGGCUACCUGGUCGAGUACUGACACUGAGACACGAAAGCAUGGGGAUCAAACAGGAUUAGAAACCCGAGUAGUCC
This 450-nucleotide ribosomal RNA is filed under the name uncultured bacterium. RNAcentral's name for it is "partial 16S ribosomal RNA". It matches the Rfam family "Bacterial small subunit ribosomal RNA", at positions 354 to 796 of the family's 1533-position model. The record is from RNAcentral.